GCACUGAUGGAUGAGCCCAAGUCGGAUUAGCUAGUUGGCGGGGUAACGGCCCACCAAGGCGACGAUCCGUAGCUGGUCUGAGAGGACGAUCAGCCACACCGGAACUGAGACACGGUCCGG
This 120-nucleotide ribosomal RNA is filed under the name uncultured bacterium. RNAcentral describes it as "partial 16S ribosomal RNA". It matches the Rfam family "Bacterial small subunit ribosomal RNA", at positions 215 to 334 of the family's 1533-position model. The record is from RNAcentral.